Molecule: ribosomal RNA, 469 nt
Filed under: uncultured bacterium
Lineage: Bacteria
Description: partial 16S ribosomal RNA
Rfam family: Bacterial small subunit ribosomal RNA
Source: RNAcentral
GACGAACGCUGGCGGCGUGCUUAACACAUGCAAGUCGAACGGAAAGGCCCUGCUUGCAGGGUGCUCGAGUGGCGAACGGGUGAGUAACACGUGGGUGAUCUGCCCCUUAUUUUGGGAUAAGCCUGGGAAACUGGGUCUAAUACUGGAUAGGACCAUGCUGUAGGUGGUGUGGUGGAAAGAUUAGUUUCGGUAAGGGAUGAGCGCGCGGCCUAUCAGCUUGUUGGUGGGGUAAUGGCCUACCAAGGCGUCGACGGGUAGCCGGCCUGAGAGGGUGGACGGCCACAUUGGGACUGAGAUACGGCCCAGAGUCCUACGGGAGGCAGCAGUGGGGAAUAUUGCACAAUGGGCGCAAGCCUGAUGCAGCGACGCCGCGUGGGGGAUGACGGCCUUCGGGUUGUAAACUCCUUUCAGCCAUGACGAAGCCCUUGUGGUGACGGUAGUGGUAGAAGAAGCACCGGCUAACUACGUG